This 253-nucleotide ribosomal RNA is filed under the name uncultured bacterium. RNAcentral's name for it is "partial 16S ribosomal RNA". It matches the Rfam family "Bacterial small subunit ribosomal RNA", at positions 524 to 776 of the family's 1533-position model. The record is from RNAcentral.
UAGGUAGGGGGCUAGCGUUAUCCGGAAUUACUGGGCGUAAAGGGCGCGUAGGCGGUCGUAUAAGUCAGAUGUGAAAGCCCGGGGCUCAACCCCGGAAGUGCAUUUGAUACUGUACGACUUGAGUAUGGGAGAGAGAAGUGGAAUUCCUGGUGUAGAGGUGAAAUUCGUAGAUAUCAGGAGGAACACCGGUGGCCAAGGCGACUUCCUGGACCAAUACUGACGCUGAGGCGCGAAGGCGUGGUUAGCAAACACG